This 593-nucleotide ribosomal RNA is filed under the name fungal sp. JB4-3. Its description in RNAcentral is "eukaryotic LSU rRNA". It matches the Rfam family "Eukaryotic large subunit ribosomal RNA", at positions 82 to 665 of the family's 3401-position model. Lineage: Eukaryota; Fungi. The record is from RNAcentral.
AGUAGCGGCGAGUGAAGCGGGAAGAGCUCAAAUUUGUAAUCUGGCGUCCUUCGGGCGUCCGAGUUGUAAUCUAUAGAAGUGUUUUCCGUGCCGGACCAUGUCCAAGUCCCUUGGAACAGGGUAUCAAAGAGGGUGACAAUCCCGUACUUGACAUGACCACCGGUGCUCUGUGAUACACUUUCUACGAGUCGAGUUGUUUGGGAAUGCAGCUCAAAAUGGGUGGUAAAUUCCAUCUAAAGCUAAAUAUUGGCGAGAGACCGAUAGCGAACAAGUACCGUGAGGGAAAGAUGAAAAGCACUUUGGAAAGAGAGUUAAACAGUACGUGAAAUUGUUGAAAGGGAAACGAUUGAAGUCAGUCGUGUUCUUUGGACUCAGCCGGUUCUUCCGGUCUAUUUCCUUUGAACGGGUCAACAUCAGUUUUGUCCGGUGGAUAAAGGCAGGAAGAAAGUGGCUCCCUCGGGAGUGUUAUAGCUUUCUGUCACAUACACUGGAGGAGACUGAGGACUGCAGCUCGCCUUUUGGCCGGGGUUCGCCCACGUUCGAGCUUAGGAUGUUGACAUAAUGGCUUUAAACGACCCGUCUUGAACAACGGA